Molecule: transfer RNA, 70 nt
Filed under: Diaphorina citri (Asian citrus psyllid)
Lineage: Eukaryota; Metazoa; Arthropoda; Insecta; Hemiptera; Psyllidae
Rfam family: tRNA
About the family: Transfer RNA (tRNA) molecules are approximately 80 nucleotides in length.
Source: Rfam by way of RNAcentral
GCCUAGUUAGCUUAGUUGGUAGUGCAGCCUUGUAAGCGCUAGGCUGCGGGUUCGAUUCCCGCCCGGGGCG